GAGAUCGUAGCAUAAUGGCAUUGUGUGAGACUCCAGAUCUCAAGGUUGGGGGUUCAAUUCCCUCCGAUCUCA
Molecule: transfer RNA, 72 nt
Filed under: Bacillota bacterium
Lineage: Bacteria; Bacillati; Bacillota
Description: tRNA-Trp
Rfam family: tRNA
About the family: Transfer RNA (tRNA) molecules are approximately 80 nucleotides in length.
Source: RNAcentral